Molecule: non-coding RNA, 181 nt
Organism: Callorhinus ursinus (northern fur seal)
Lineage: Eukaryota; Metazoa; Chordata; Mammalia; Carnivora; Otariidae
Source: RefSeq, a predicted model, not a curated record
AAAAGGGAACUUACAAUCUCCCAGGGACAUGUGUCCUUUCAGCUUAUGUCCAAGGAUGCCCCAUUCUGGAUGGUUGAAAAAGAGAAGAGACUGCAGACACUGAAAAUGUGAGAACAAGCACCUUUCCUCCGAAAGAACUCAACUAACUUCUCUGCCUGCCCUUUUCUUGUCUUAAGUCAUC